Molecule: ribosomal RNA, 397 nt
Filed under: uncultured bacterium
Lineage: Bacteria
Description: bacterial SSU rRNA
Rfam family: Bacterial small subunit ribosomal RNA
Source: RNAcentral
AUUAAACGCUGGCGGCAUGCCUUACACAUGCAAGUCGAGCGGCAGCGCGGGGGCAACCCUGGCGGCGAGCGGCGAACGGGUGAGUAACAUAUCGGAACGUACCCCGUCGUGGGGGAUAACACAGCGAAAGCUGUGCUAAUACCGCAUACGACCUGAGGGUGAAAGCGGGGGAUCGCAAGACCUCGCGCGAUGGGAGCGGCCGAUAUCGGAUUAGCUUGUUGGUGAGGUAAAGGCUCACCAAGGCGACGAUCCGUAGCUGGUCUGAGAGGACGACCAGCCACACUGGAACUGAGACACGGUCCAGACUCCUACGGGAGGCAGCAGUGGGGAAUUUUGGACAAUGGGGGCAACCCUGAUCCAGCCAUUCCGCGUGAGUGAAGAAGGCCUCGGUUGUAAG